GUUUAUAUAGCAAAAUUGGUAAUGCAAAAGAUCUAAGACCUUUCACCAGGGGUUCAAAUCCCCUUAUUAACU
RNAcentral lists this transfer RNA (72 nucleotides) under Xenorhina sp. TNHC-GDC 31177. Its description in RNAcentral is "tRNA-Leu". It matches the Rfam family "tRNA". Rfam says of the family: Transfer RNA (tRNA) molecules are approximately 80 nucleotides in length. Lineage: Eukaryota; Metazoa; Chordata; Amphibia; Anura; Microhylidae. The record is from RNAcentral.